GAUGAACGCUAGCGGCAGGCUUAACACAUGCAAGUCGAGGGGCAGCAUGGAAGGUUAGCAAUAACUUUUGAUGGCGACCGGCGCAAGGGUGCGUAACGCGUGAGCAACUUGCCCGUUUCUGGGGGAUAACCGGUGGAAACGCCGACUAAUACCCCAUAGCAUUGAUUUCAGGCAUCUGUUAUCAAUUAAAGAAUUUCGGAAACGGAUAGGCUCGCGUGACAUUAGCUAGAUGGCGGGGUAACGGCCCACCAUGGCGACGAUGUCUAGGGGUUCUGAGAGGAAGGUCCCCCCACACUGGAACUGAGACACGGUCCAGACUCCUACGGGAGGCAGCAGUGAGGAAUAUUGGUCAAUGGUCUGACGACUGAACCAGCCAUGCCGCGUGAAGGUGACGGCCCUAUGAGUUGAAACUGCUUUUGUACAAGGGUAAACCUCGGUACGUGUACCGAGUUGAAAGUACUGUACGAAUAAGGAUCGGCUAACUCCGUG
RNAcentral lists this ribosomal RNA (489 nucleotides) under uncultured bacterium. RNAcentral's name for it is "bacterial SSU rRNA". It matches the Rfam family "Bacterial small subunit ribosomal RNA", at positions 28 to 507 of the family's 1533-position model. The record is from RNAcentral.